Molecule: ribosomal RNA, 1287 nt
Filed under: metagenome
Description: bacterial SSU rRNA
Rfam family: Bacterial small subunit ribosomal RNA
Source: RNAcentral
UAGCUAGUUGGUGAGGUAAAGGCUUACCAAGGCGACGAUCUGUAGCGGGUCUGAGAGGAUGAUCCGCCACACUGGAACUGAGACACGGUCCAGACUCCUACGGGAGGCAGCAGUGGGGAAUUUUGGACAAUGGGGGCAACCCUGAUCCAGCCAUGCCGCGUGAGUGAAGAAGGCCUUCGGGUUGUAAAGCUCUUUCGGCCGGGAAGAAAUCGCAUGGGCCAAUACCCUGUGUGGAUGACGGUACCGGAAUAAGAAGCACCGGCUAACUACGUGCCAGCAGCCGCGGUAAUACGUAGGGUGCGAGCGUUAAUCGGAAUUACUGGGCGUAAAGCGUGCGCAGGCGGUUUUGUAAGACAGGCGUGAAAUCCCCGGGCUUAACCUGGGAACUGCGUUUGUGACUGCAAGGCUAGAGUACGGCAGAGGGGGGUGGAAUUCCACGUGUAGCAGUGAAAUGCGUAGAGAUGUGGAGGAACACCAAUGGCGAAGGCAGCCCCCUGGGUCGAUACUGACGCUCAUGCACGAAAGCGUGGGUAGCAAACAGGAUUAGAUACCCUGGUAGUCCACGCCCUAAACUAUGUCAACUAGGUGUUGGGUGGGUAAAACCAUUUAGUACCGUAGCUAACGCGUGAAGUUGACCGCCUGGGGAGUACGGCCGCAAGGUUAAAACUCAAAGGAAUUGACGGGGACCCGCACAAGCGGUGGAUGAUGUGGAUUAAUUCGAUGCAACGCGAAAAACCUUACCUACCCUUGACAUGCCAGGGACUUGCCAGAGAUGGCUUGGUGCCCGAAAGGGAGCCUGGACACAGGUGCUGCAUGGCUGUCGUCAGCUCGUGUCGUGAGAUGUUGGGUUAAGUCCCGCAACGAGCGCAACCCUUGUCGUUAAUUGCCAUCAUUUAGUUGGGCACUUUAACGAGACUGCCGGUGACAAACCGGAGGAAGGUGGGGAUGACGUCAAGUCCUCAUGGCCCUUAUGGGUAGGGCUUCACACGUCAUACAAUGGUCGGUACAAAGGGUUGCCAAGCCGCGAGGCGGAGCCAAUCCCAGAAAGCCGAUCGUAGUCCGGAUUGCAGGCUGCAACUCGCCUGCAUGAAGUCGGAAUCGCUAGUAAUCGUGGAUCAGCAUGUCACGGUGAAUACGUUCCCGGGUCUUGUACACACCGCCCGUCACACCAUGGGAGCGGGUUCCGCCAGAAGUAGGUAGCCUAACCGCAAGGGGGGCGCUUACCACGGCGGGGUUCGAGACUGGGGUGAAGUCGUAACAAGGUAGCCGUAGGGGAACCUGCGGCUG